GAUUAACAAUGAAAAGGGCUUCCUAAUGGAAGCCCUUUUUUAAUGCGUGUACGUUUUCGCUGAUAUGU
Molecule: unclassified non-coding RNA, 68 nt
Filed under: Vibrio sp. J2-4
Lineage: Bacteria; Pseudomonadati; Pseudomonadota; Gammaproteobacteria; Vibrionales; Vibrionaceae
Also listed under: 1 other name
Description: ctRNA_p42d
Source: RNAcentral